UACAGAGGUCCCGAGCGUUGUUCGGAUUCACUGGGCGUAAAGGGUGCGUAGGUGGCAUGGUAAGUUUGAUGUGGAAGCUCAGGGCUCAACCCUGAAAUGGCAUUGAAUACUACUGUGCUGGAGGUUUGGAGGGGGGACUGGAAUUCUUGGUGUAGCAGUGAAAUGCGUAGAUAUCAAGAGGAACACCAGUGGCGAAGGCGAGUCCCUGGACAACACCUGACACUGAGGCACGAAAGCUAGGGGAGCAAACAGG
RNAcentral lists this ribosomal RNA (253 nucleotides) under uncultured bacterium. RNAcentral describes it as "partial 16S ribosomal RNA". It matches the Rfam family "Bacterial small subunit ribosomal RNA", at positions 524 to 776 of the family's 1533-position model. The record is from RNAcentral.